RNAcentral lists this ribosomal RNA (253 nucleotides) under uncultured bacterium. RNAcentral's name for it is "partial 16S ribosomal RNA". It matches the Rfam family "Bacterial small subunit ribosomal RNA", at positions 524 to 776 of the family's 1533-position model. The record is from RNAcentral.
UACGAAGGGUGCAAACGUUGCUCGGAAUUAUUGGGCGUAAAGCGCACGUAGGCGGUAUUGCAAGUCGGAUGUGAAAUCCCUCGGCUCAACCAAGGAAGUGCAUCCGAAACUGCCGUACUUGAGUACGAAAGAGGAUCGCGGAAUUCCCGGUGUAGAGGUGAAAUUCGUAGAUAUCGGGAGGAACACCAGUGGCGAAGGCGGCGAUCUGGGUCGAUACUGACGCUGAGGUGCGAAAGCGUGGGGAGCAAACAGG